CCUACGGGAGGCAGCAGUAGGGAAUAUUGCUCAAUGGGGGAAACCCUGAAGCAGCAACGCCGCGUGGAGGAUGAAGGUUUUAGGAUUGUAAACUCCUUUUGUUAGAGAAGAUUAUGACUGUAUCUAACGAAUAAGCACCGGCCAAAUCCGUGCCAGCAGCCGCGGUAAUACGGAGGGGGCAAGCGUUACUCGGAAGCACUGGGCGGAAAGAGUGCGUAGGCGGGGUAAUAAGUCAGAUGUGAAAUCCUGUAGCUUAACUACAGAAGUGCAUUUGAAACUGUUACUCUGGAGUGUGGGAGAGGUAGGUGGAAUUCUUGGUGUAGGGGUAAAAUGCGUAGAGAUCAAGAGGAAUACUCAUUGCGAAGGCGACCUGCUGGAACAUUACUGACGCUGAUGCACGAAAGCGUGGGGAGCAAACAGGAUUAGAUACCCUUGUAGUC
Molecule: ribosomal RNA, 440 nt
Filed under: uncultured bacterium
Lineage: Bacteria
Description: partial 16S ribosomal RNA
Rfam family: Bacterial small subunit ribosomal RNA
Source: RNAcentral